UACGGGGGGGGCAAGCGUUGUUCGGAAUUACUGGGCGUAAAGGGCUCGUAGGUGGCCAACUAAGUCGGACGUGAAAUCCCUCAGCUUAACUGGGGAACUGCGUCCGAUACUGGAUGGCUUGAGUUUGGGAGAGGGAUGCAGAAUUCCAGGUGUAGCGGUGAAAUGCGUAGAUAUCUGGAGGAAUACCGGUGGCGAAGGCGGCAUCCUGGACCGACAUUGACGCUGAGGAGCGAAAGCUAGGGGAGCAAACGGG
This 253-nucleotide ribosomal RNA is filed under the name uncultured bacterium. RNAcentral's name for it is "partial 16S ribosomal RNA". It matches the Rfam family "Bacterial small subunit ribosomal RNA", at positions 524 to 776 of the family's 1533-position model. The record is from RNAcentral.